GUAGGUGGCAAGCGUUGUCCGGAAUUAUUGGGCGUAAAGCGCGCGCAGGCGGUUCUUUAAGUCUGAUGUGAAAGCCCACGGGCUCAACCGUGGAGGGUCAUUGGAAACUGGAGAACUGAGUACAGAAGAGGAAAGCGGAAUUCCACGUGUAGCGGUGAAAUGCGUAGAGAUGUGGAGGAACACCAGUGGCGAAGGCGGCUUUCUGGUCUGUAACUGACGCUGAGGCGCGAAAGCGUGGGGAGCAAACAGGAUUAGAUACCCUGGUAGUCCACGCCGUAAACGAUGAGUGCUAAGUGUUAGGGGGUUUCCGCCCCUUAGUGCUGCAGCUAACGCAUUAAGCACUCCGCCUGGGGAGUACGGCCGCAAAGGCUG
Molecule: ribosomal RNA, 372 nt
Filed under: uncultured organism
Description: partial 16S ribosomal RNA
Rfam family: Bacterial small subunit ribosomal RNA
Source: RNAcentral